Molecule: ribosomal RNA, 398 nt
Filed under: Cryptosporidium environmental sequence
Lineage: Eukaryota; Apicomplexa; Conoidasida; Eucoccidiorida; Cryptosporidiidae
Description: partial small subunit ribosomal RNA
Rfam family: Eukaryotic small subunit ribosomal RNA
Source: RNAcentral
UGUUAAUAAUUUAUAUAAAAUAUUUUGAUGAAUAUUUAUAUAAUAUUAACAUAAUUCAUAUUACUAUUUUUUUUUUUAGUAUAUGAAAUUUUACUUUGAGAAAAUUAGAGUGCUUAAAGCAGGCAUAUGCCUUGAAUACUCCAGCAUGGAAUAAUAUUAAAGAUUUUUAUCUUUUUUAUUGGUUCUAAGAUAAGAAUAAUGAUUAAUAGGGACAGUUGGGGGCAUUUGUAUUUAACAGUCAGAGGUGAAAUUCUUAGAUUUGUUAAAGACAAACUAAUGCGAAAGCAUUUGCCAAGGAUGUUUUCAUUAAUCAAGAACGAAAGWUAGGGGAUCGAAGACGAUCAGAUACCGYCGUAGUCUUAACCAUAAACUAUGCCAACUAGAGAUUGGAGGUUGUU